This 1625-nucleotide long non-coding RNA is filed under the name Lynx pardinus (Iberian lynx). Lineage: Eukaryota; Metazoa; Chordata; Mammalia; Carnivora; Felidae. The record is from RNAcentral.
GGUUAAAACACUUUUAAUGAAAAGGGAAAGACACUAAUAUCUCCCUUGUCUGCUCUUCACAUUUUACUAUGUUAGGAAGCUCUGGAGCCUAUACCUUUGGAGGAGAAACCAUCAUUCAAGUCAAUCAAUAGCAGAACCCUCACUCUCUCCCCCUCAGGACUCCUGUUCCAAAUGAUCCUAUGUUAAGAGUAAAUACUACAUCUCAUUACAAGACGGAGAGGCAGGGAGAAAACCACCUAGAGCUCAUCUCCCAAGGUCUGGGACUCUAAGAACCAGACGGUGGCAAAGACAUGAGCCCUGGUCCAUAGACAGGCAAAAUGGGGAGGAAACAGGCCUUGAGAAAGGAAGACAAGGAAAAUACAAGGGGCCAGGGUACAAAGUAGGGAGUUAUCUAAAACUAGAAGCACACUAGUGCUAGGAAAUCCCCUAUGACCUGAGGUGCAUUGCUGCACACUAAGUCACUAACAGUCCAAAAGAACAUUCGUGAGACCCAUCCAAUCGAGAAUUCGAGGUCCCCUCCCUCACAUCAUGCCCCUUUCUUAACCUCACGUGUUCCCAGCAAGCCCUAUGCUUUAGCAACGCUCUUCAACUCUCCAUCAUUCCUCCUUCAAUGACCCUCACCAAUAAUGCUUGUUAAAGACAUGAACUUCACAUUUCCCAAAAGAUCCCACGAGAGACCUGCUGCUAAGACAUCUGCUCGUUUCCUAACUUUGACAGGCCAUGAUGAAGGAACAGGAGAAGCUGGAGGUGUCUUGGCAAACUGACCAGCCAACACCUUUGCCUGAAUGGGAGUUUACUGGGAAGAAUGUCCUAUAUGCUCUUCGUUUCUCCCUACCCCUUAGGGCUGAGCCGCCAGAUACAGAUAUUGUUGUAUCUUCAUUGCUGGCACCUUCCAGAGCAGGGAAAAGAAGAAAUGUACAGUUUGCUACUUUUCUUCUCUGACGGGCUUCUCAGGCACUGCCUUGGAUGCAGGAGACCGAAAUAGGAAGAGGGGGGCUCUCUUCUCCUUGGCCUCUCUGGAUCCCAUUGCUGGAGGCACGUUCCCAGCCAUAGUUCCUGGGCCAAACAGCACUGGUGGUGCCAGACCUAAACUGGUAGUGGAGGUGGAGCCGGAACUCCGGGGCUUGGUGGGCAGGUCCCUUGACAGGAAAGCUGUGUACUGGUUCCAGAAAGACAGGGGACCUACCCUCACCAGUUGGGCAGGAACAUCCUGGGACAGGAAGUCCUGCAGGUUGACCUGGUCACCAGAGAGGAGUGGCACUGGGCCCUCCAGGGACAGCUGCCGGCCCCUUCGGGCUGGGCUGCAGUUCCAAAUGUGGGUGCUCAGGUGCACCUGCCAAAGGGAAAGGGAGAGGAAGAAAGGAGAGGGGGGAGAGGGGUCACCCCAGGGAAGCUGGAGGGGGAUCCCCUUGGGAAUGUGAAAGCUGCAGAGAAACUAUUUUCCUCAGGUACAGUGAGUGAAGAGGGAAGAAAAAAUUCAUCAGGGGGCCAUCCCCCUGGCAAGCACAGCCAUUUCCAAGCUCAGGGACUAGAGAGAAGCCACGGGGGAUGUACCACAGAAGGACUCAGAGAAAAAAGACAGAUAAGGGCUCGUAAAUCCUGUGGAGGUGCUUCUACAGAGCUCU